Molecule: transfer RNA, 69 nt
Filed under: Chelonia mydas (Green sea turtle)
Lineage: Eukaryota; Metazoa; Chordata; Testudines; Cheloniidae
Rfam family: tRNA
About the family: Transfer RNA (tRNA) molecules are approximately 80 nucleotides in length.
Source: Rfam by way of RNAcentral
GGCAGUGUGGCCUGGUGGGCAGAGCACUGGACUGGCGCUCAGACCUGGGUUCUAUUCCCGGCUCUGCCA